This 84-nucleotide transfer RNA is filed under the name Rosistilla ulvae. RNAcentral describes it as "Planctomycetes bacterium EC9 tRNA-Tyr". It matches the Rfam family "tRNA". Rfam says of the family: Transfer RNA (tRNA) molecules are approximately 80 nucleotides in length. RNAcentral also lists the same sequence under 2 other names. Lineage: Bacteria; Pseudomonadati; Planctomycetota; Planctomycetia; Pirellulales; Pirellulaceae. The record is from RNAcentral.
UGGGGGGUUGCCCGAGUGGUUAAAGGGGGCGGACUGUAAAUCCGCUAGCUUUGCUUACACAGGUUCGAAUCCUGUACCCCCCAU